This 1382-nucleotide long non-coding RNA is filed under the name Homo sapiens (human). RNAcentral's name for it is "HSALNT0118275". The record is from RNAcentral. Lineage: Eukaryota; Metazoa; Chordata; Mammalia; Primates; Hominidae.
GGAGUUUCAAGUUUCGAACAGAGAAGAAGUUUCCGUGGCCGUCGCACUGAAAUCUCCUCCUCGCCAGACUUCCAGGAGCCUCAUCCCCCGGCCCCCUGCAGGCCACCUGCUCACCUGGGAAGCUCCACGUCCUUAUCUCUUCCUCCUCCAUCCAUGGCUCCUUCCCCUGCUCCAAACUGGAGAUCACAGCUGGUUUGCUGACUUGACACCCUCUUGGGGAGAAACGGUUAAAGGAUUUGUGCUGAGCCAGCUGGGCCUUCCAAGCAAGCAGACAGUUCAGCCUGCAAAACAAAAGGUGGACAUCUCAGCCACAGAGAGCUGUUUCGCUUGGCAGAUCGGGUCUUGCACCUGUGGCUCAAGCAAUCCUCCCACCUCGGCCUCCUGAAGUGCUGGGAUCACAGGCAUGAGCCACCAUGCCCAGCUUAGCACUUUCAGUGCGUGAGCAGUUUCCCAGUUUUAUACAACUAAGAAAAAGAGUUCAUGUAACCCGAGGACCACGGGGAAGUCUUCCUCACCCACAGAGAGCAGGUGGCUGUAGUUCUCCAGCAUCACAUCCUGGUACAGGGUCCUCUGCUCCAGGUCCAGCUGCUGCCACUCUUUCCGGGUGAAGCCCACAGCCACGUCCCCGAAUGACAGUGACCCCUGGAACAGCACAUGGCUGAUUAAUGUGGAGUGGUUGGCACUGGGUACCAUGGCAAAGGCGUAGAGGAGAUUGAUCUUACCCCCUUCCGAGGUCAGCUUUCCCCAUAUUAGGUUACAUAGAAAGCUGAGCACACCCCUAACUUUGUACUACACUUUGUGGAAGAGAAAAAAAAAAUUGUUAGAAAAAAUAUCAACCGGGUGCAGUGGCUCACGCCUGUAAUCCCAGCACUUUGAGGGGCUGAGACAGGUGGAUUGCUUGAGGUUAGGAGUUUGAGACCAGCGUGGCCAACAUGGUGAAACCCCAUCUCUACAAAAAAUAUAUUAGAUGGACGUGCUGGUGGGUGCCUGUAAUCCCAGCUACCAGGGAGGCUCAGGCAGGAGAAUUGCUUCAACCCAGGAGGCGUAGCUUGCAGUGAGCUGAGAUCCCGCCCUUGCACCCCAGGCUGUACAACAGAGUGAGACUCCAUCUCAAAAAUAAAUAAAUAAAUCUCACUACUGGAUCUCCAUUCAUUCCUUCAAUGAUCAAGUGUCUUUCAGGGACCUCGCACACUGCUGGUGUUCUACCAGGCGCUUGGGGUCGAGGGCUGAACACAAAAUUGUUCCUGUUCUGAAGGUAGUUAGGAGUGUUGCUGCCAGAUGAACACAGGAAGACAGCUGUACCGUAAGAUUACACUAUAGGCGGUGGUAGACAUGUAGUUACAUACAGAAUGGGCACGAGGAAGACAGCAGCCAGAUCCAAC